Molecule: ribosomal RNA, 186 nt
Filed under: Staphylococcus aureus
Lineage: Bacteria; Bacillati; Bacillota; Bacilli; Caryophanales; Staphylococcaceae
Also listed under: 1 other name
Description: partial 16S ribosomal RNA
Rfam family: Bacterial small subunit ribosomal RNA
Source: RNAcentral
UUUUAUGAGAGUUUGAUCCUGGCUCAGGACGAACGCUGGCGGCGUGCCUAAUACAUGCAAGUCGAACGCUUCUUUUUCCACCGGAGCUUGCUCCACCGGAAAAAGAGGAGUGGCGAACGGGUGAGUAACACGUGGGUAACCUGCCCAUCAGAAGGGGAUAACACUUGGAAACAGGUGCUAAUACCG